This 273-nucleotide ribosomal RNA is filed under the name uncultured bacterium. RNAcentral's name for it is "partial 16S ribosomal RNA". It matches the Rfam family "Bacterial small subunit ribosomal RNA", at positions 43 to 297 of the family's 1533-position model. The record is from RNAcentral.
GGGCCGCGGGAAUUCGAUUCAGGCCUAACACAUGCAAGUCGAGCGGGGGAGAUUGCUUCGGUAAUUGACCUAGCGGAGAACGGGUGAGUAAUACUUAGGAAUCUGCCUAUUAAUGGGGGACAACAUCUCGAAAGGGAUGGUAAUACCGCAUACGCCCUACGGGGGAAAGCAGGGGAUCACGUGUGACCGUGCGUUAAUAGAUGAGCCUAAGUCGGGUUAGCUAGUUGGUGGGGUAAAGGCCUACCAAGGCGACGAUCUCUAGCGGGUCUGAGA